This 327-nucleotide ribosomal RNA is filed under the name uncultured Bacteroidota bacterium. Its description in RNAcentral is "bacterial SSU rRNA". It matches the Rfam family "Bacterial small subunit ribosomal RNA", at positions 28 to 351 of the family's 1533-position model. The record is from RNAcentral. Lineage: Bacteria; Pseudomonadati; Bacteroidota.
GAUUAACGCUAGCGGCAGGCCUAAUACAUGCAAGUCGAACGGCAGCGGGUCCAGCAAUGGAUGCCGGCGAGUGGCGCACGGGUGCGUAACGCGUAUGCAAUCUACCUUUAACUGGGGGAUAGCCCCGAGAAAUCGGGAUUAAUACCCCAUAAUAUUGAGAAGGGACAUCUCUUUUCAAUUAAAGCUCCGGCGGUUUUAGAUGAGCAUGCGUGACAUUAGCUAGUUGGUGAGGUAACGGCUCACCAAGGCGACGAUGUCUAGGGGUUCUGAGAGGUACUUUUCCCCCACACUGGUACUGAGACACGGACCAGACUCCUACGGGAGCUG